GAAAUAUAAUUUAAAUGAAGCUGCUAACUUUAUUUCUAGUGAUUAAAUUUCAUUAAUAUUUCU
RNAcentral lists this transfer RNA (63 nucleotides) under Mustilia falcipennis. Its description in RNAcentral is "tRNA-Ser". The record is from RNAcentral. Lineage: Eukaryota; Metazoa; Arthropoda; Insecta; Lepidoptera; Endromidae.